UGGGGAAUAUUGCGCAAUGGGCGAAAGCCUGACGCAGCGACGCCGCGUGAGGGAUGAAGGUUUUCGGAUCGUAAACCUCUGUCAGAAGGGAAGAAACCGCACUGUGCUAAUCAGCAGUGCCUUGACGGUACCUUCAAAGGAAGCACCGGCUAACUCCGUGCCAGCAGCCGCGGUAAUACGGAGGGUGCAAGCGUUAAUCGGAAUUACUGGGCGUAAAGCGCACGUAGGCUACUUUGUAAGUCAGGGGUGAAAUCCCACGGCUCAACCGUGGAACUGCCUUUGAUACUGCUUAGCUUGAAUCCGGGAGAGGGUGGCGGAAUUCCAGGUGUAGGAGUGAAAUCCGUAGAUAUCUGGAGGAACAUCAGUGGCGAAGGCGGCCACCUGGACCGGUAUUGACGCUGAGGUGCGAAAGCGUGGGGAGCAAACAGG
This 429-nucleotide ribosomal RNA is filed under the name Fusobacteriota bacterium. RNAcentral describes it as "Fusobacteria bacterium partial 16S ribosomal RNA". It matches the Rfam family "Bacterial small subunit ribosomal RNA", at positions 355 to 776 of the family's 1533-position model. The record is from RNAcentral. Lineage: Bacteria; Fusobacteriati; Fusobacteriota.